Dermacentor albipictus is the source of this 1836-nucleotide non-coding RNA. The record is from RefSeq and is a predicted model, not a curated record. NCBI's taxonomy places the organism in Eukaryota, Metazoa, Arthropoda, Arachnida, Ixodida, Ixodidae.
AAGCAGCAAAAAAAAACGCUACGUAGAAAAAGUGAAGCUUUGCGGCGGUGUUGACCCACUGCUGCUGGGCACGGACGAGCUGUGCUUUGAUGUCGAGCUUGUGCCAAAGGUAGAAGUCUGCGACAUCAAGGAUAAUUUAGUUCACGCGACUAGCUACGUUACACAUGAGCAACUAAAUGCAAAAAAAAAAAACUGGUCUCGAAGUGCACAACUACCUGACAAGCGGUUUUGUUCAGGAGCCGCAGCUGAAGAAGGUGGACGACGUCAUCAUCGUAUGCAGAAAGGUAAACCAUUUGCAGUCACUUUCGACACAACCACUCGAGCCAUGGAUUAUUAUUAAAGAAGACGGAAUAGUGAAGGCAGCACACUGUACGCUCAUGGCGGGCCUGGGUGAGGCCGUUCUCACUUAGGCGCAGUUCUUUUUUAUUUGGAGGCAGCAGCUUCAUUUCAAGAGAGCCAGGCCUGCACAGACAAGACAAACAAAUGGUUGCCACCUCAUAUGACCAAUGUGGCCUGUGUACCAAUUGCUGAGAUAUACUUUUCAUCAUCCAAUGCAAAAAGACGGCGUCUCAGUGAAACAAAGCACCCUUCUGCGAAGAAAAGUAAAGCUCGCAUCGAGAGGUCAUCAAAAGAAGAAUGGGCUGCCUUCCUGACCAGUGCAAAAUACUGGAGCGCAAUCUGCAGUGCUCUCACUCACAACGGGUUAUUGCGAUGACUUCAUUCCGUUGUCUCACAAGUAUUCUACAGCUGUUCUUGGGGAGCUGACCGAUAUCAAAUCAGCAACAUGGGACAACAUUUAAGAGGAGUGCCAGAUGUUUGUACUAGUGUUCACUGUAGAAUUGAAGGUAAGCAACACAUUGCUUUUGACAUCAUGUAAACGUUAAAGCUUGGUGUGCUUAACAAGCUGUAGCAUAGUGGUACUCUUACGAUAGCGUAGUAGUAUGUAAUUUUGGUGCGCCUGAGGUGUUAAAGCUGCAUUCUUAAGAAGAGUACAGUUUACUGGUCAGUUAAUGUUUCCGCAAGGCACGUAAGGAGCGUGGAAUUUAUGCAUUCCUUCAGGCAGUAUUUUGCUAAAAUAUUUUUAAUAAUCUUGGCAUAUCGGCUUGUGCCUGUUACGUAAAGGGCAGAAUGGCAAAGUACUUGUAUUUUCCAUACCAGUGGUCAACGUGAGUGAUGCCAGUUCAUAAACUUGUUGCAUUGCAACACCUUCACUGUUUGAAUGGUCUCUGUUUUGAACAUGCAUGUACGUCAGGCUGUAGAGGCAGCAACAAGGGAGCAGUCAGCAUCUUCUGUUUGGUUUGCAUUCUGAGCAGGAAGGGUGACAUCAUCGACCGCGUAUGCAACCUGUCGAACACCCCUCUACAAGCCGUCCAUAAGCCUCAAGAGGAUGUGCUAUCCCGAAGAGCAGAAGUUCUUUUCAGCGGCAACCGAAUGGGGGAAACACAAAGAAGUAGUAGCCAGGAAGCCUUACAUUUCGGCAAUGACUGCAUGAGAAAGCAUGAGAAAUUUGUGUGUCAUAGCUCUGGCCAACACAUUUCUGCAGAGGAACCCUACCUAGCCGCCAGCCCAGAUGGCUUGAUUUCGUGUGAAUGCUGUCACGAUGGCGUGCUAGAAAUUAAGUGUCCCUAUUCAGCAGUCUGUGUGGGUGAUAUGCUGGAGCAGAAAGGUGGCUGUUUGGGGCUAUGUGAUGACAGUGCACGAUUGAAGAGAAGCCAUGCAUACUUCUGCCAAGUACAACUACAACUGUACCUGUGUCAGCGGCAGUACUGUGAUUUCGUUCUGUGGACACCAUCAGAUUUGUCUUUCUGCAAAUAAAUGACACAGAAGUCCAAAGCA